RNAcentral lists this ribosomal RNA (244 nucleotides) under uncultured bacterium. Its description in RNAcentral is "partial 16S ribosomal RNA". It matches the Rfam family "Bacterial small subunit ribosomal RNA", at positions 533 to 776 of the family's 1533-position model. The record is from RNAcentral.
UGCAAGCGUUAUCCGGAUUCACUGGGUUUAAAGGGUGCGUAGGUGGGUUGGUAAGUCAGUGGUGAAAUCCCCGAGCUUAACUUGGGAACUGCCAUUGAUACUAUCAGUCUUGAAUACUGUGGAGGUCAGCAGAAUAUGUCAUGUAGCGGUGAAAUGCUUAGAUAUGAUAUAGAAUACCAAUUGCGAAGGCAGCUGGCUACACAAAUAUUGACACUGAGGCACGAAAGCGUGGGGAUCAAACAGG